Molecule: long non-coding RNA, 1151 nt
Organism: Jaculus jaculus (lesser Egyptian jerboa)
Lineage: Eukaryota; Metazoa; Chordata; Mammalia; Rodentia; Dipodidae
Exons: 4
Source: RefSeq, a predicted model, not a curated record
AGCUAAAGACCUGACCCUUGCUUGUGGAAAAGAGGAUGCCUGGAGAAGCCGAGUGCGUGUAGGUCGUUGCUGAUACGGAGAAAUCAGGAGAGUGAAGAUGGUGAUCCAACCAGGGAUAUGCCUGCAGUGGUACACAUUAUGAGCAUUCCCGUGCGGCAGCAGAAGAUGCUUGUCCUCAUGAUCCCAAGAACUGUUGGGAAGCACAGCGUUGAGUUAGAUCUGUCUCCAAACACACUUUAGAGGUGGACCUGAGGAUCUGGCCUCAGUGAUACCUCCUCUACCAGGCUGGUGCAAACUUAAGCGAUGGAUCCUCAGUACUGCAGAGGAUGAUGAGUGGGUGUCUAUGUGUGCUGAGGUCAAUGUUGCAGGGUUUAGUUCCUAGAAAGGGGAUAGCAACACAUAGAAAAAUAAACUCACAACACUCCAUUAGGCAUACAGGGGAGUUGGGGGAAUCUCUGUCCCAUGUGGCCCUCAGUGUUUUCAUUCUUAGGCUUACACAUGCAUAGCAAAUAAUGGCCAUGACAUAACACAGAUGGUUUUAAGAGAAGUUCAUUGAUUUUGUGGCCUGUAGUUUUAACAGGUUUGUUUGCUAGGAAGGCAUCUGGCUACGGUAAACAGUGCAUGGGGACCUAUGGAUAGGAUUUAACUUAUUUUAUCUAAUUUAAGGUAGGAGCAGCUGCAUUCUUCAACUUACAUUGGCAUGCAUGCUUAGUUAGGUACAGUUUUGCUGUCAGCUACAUAGAGAUAUGACAGUGGUCUCCUCUCAAGCACUGCCACACACAGGCUGGAGCCUUCAGAAGAGGAGCCUGAGCUUCCAGGAAUGGCUAAGGACCCCCAGGCUACAGGAGGCCACUCCCUCUCCAAACCCUGCACACCUGAACAUAGGCUCUGCCCAUAGCCCUGAAACCUUUGGCCAGUUGCCUAGGAAACUCCUUAUCAUCCAGCAGCAGCCUUCCCACAGUCCUGAGGCUAUAGAUCACUUGACCCCCACACCCACCACCAUUGCCUAUGUGCUCAAUGAAUGUCUCCAUAUGCUAAUUUGGCAUCAGAAAUGAACUUGGUAUGUCCAAUUCCCUUAGGGUCCUCUCCCCCACCCUCAGAAGCUUAUAAACUCAUUUCACUGACAAUAAACUGAGAGAGCUGCUUAACUA